RNAcentral lists this unclassified non-coding RNA (1585 nucleotides) under Hevea brasiliensis (rubber tree). The record is from RNAcentral. Lineage: Eukaryota; Viridiplantae; Streptophyta; Magnoliopsida; Malpighiales; Euphorbiaceae.
GGGCUCAUUAGACUCCAUGAAGAAUUUCUGAGCUUGUUGAAUCUCACUGCAUGAAAAUAUUCAUCCACAUUUAGUUGUCAUGAUAACAACUGCCUAGCAUUCUAACUCGGAGAAUGUUAUCCAGAUUAAAUAGCCAAAACAUUAUAACUGUACCAUAAAAAUGAUAUGUCAAUGUUACAAGUGUCAAGUAUGCAAAACUUUCUUGACAUGUUUACAAUGUUACAACAGUUAGCCUUUGGUACAAUCAACAGAAGCAGUAGCUGUCUGCCUGUCUUUCAGAGUAAUCAUAUUCUAGUUGCAAAAUGAAAAGUUGUUUUGUAUCAAAUAGAAGUAUUCACUGAAUUUUUAUCUGCCUGGUUUGAAUUCAAUUGAUCUCCACUAUGAAGUUGAUCAACUGCACUUCGAGGUCCCUUGUUGUCAUCGGGGUCUGUCUUCAUGAAAUGGAAGCCCAUUAUAUAUCUAUACUCUCCUGUGCCUAGGCAACGGGAGCAAUAGCCAAGGCCGCUGCCACCACAAGUCCCACACCUGGAGAAGCAAUUGCAGGAGAGUUUAUGGUAGUUCUGUCAAUAUAAGAGUAAUAUGGAUCACAACAAAUAUUUCGAUAUCUCACCAUUUUGGCCAUUCCCCUUUGGGAAGCAUUGCUAAAUUAACACAAUUUGUCCUGCCUACAACAUUCAACACAGAAAUAACGUCACCAAAGGGAGGAAAAAGAGAGGCAAUAGCAUCAUAGUGUGAAAGCUUAUAUGGACUCUUCUGUGUGGAAGUUUGUAGAAGACGAGUAACACACAGACAUGGAAUACCUACGGUUCCAUUGUGGCUAAAGAAAGAGGCAAUACAGACAGAUUUCUUCACUAGAACUUAUGAUUGCUUCAUUUCACAAUAGCAUAUAGAAGUUUAAAAAACCUGAAGCUUUAUCUUUGGCAAAACAGUAUAGCCACUUAACAUCAUUUGGUCCUAUGUAUAAUUUUCAAGGCAGGGAAUACCGACACCGUACAACUAACAGCACUGCUUCAAUCUGAAUACCUGAUACUUUCUCAAGUCAAAACUCAAAAGAAUGGUUUAAAAAAAUUAAAAAGUUGGGAGUUGUGAGAGAGACCCUUUCCAGAACAAUGGUGGCAAUCAACUCUUCCAGUUCCCUUACAAACCACACAAGGAGGAUCAGGCUUCUUCCUAAUUUCUUUCCGGACAUUUGACUGCUACAAGACAAACCAGUCCAGAAUAUUGAUCAUUAGCAGGACCUCCUCCUGGAACUAAUUCAUACAUAGAGAAACCCCGGGGGGAGGGGGUUGGGUUGCGGGGGGGAGAAGGGGGGAAGGCUUGCCUCAGUUCGGACCACCCAAGAGGGCUUGGUGAGAGAAAGGCGCGGCAAAGAAGUGUUCUUCGGAGUCCGUACUAUUGGCAAUAGAAGACCAUCGCUGCCCUUUUUCUCAUUGCUGCCGUCGCUUUUCGAAUAAUUCAAUUGGACAACCGUUAGCAGAGUAGCAUCCGUUCUCGCUGCCAUUUUAAUCGGACGAACUAUCGAUCCAGUUUUGGUCUGGUUAAAGGGCAGAGAGAAACGGUUUGAAUUUGGGUCCGAGCUCUUGCC